GCCUGGGUGGCUCAGUCGGUUGAGCGACUGACUUCGGCUCAGGUCAUGAUCUCACGGUUUGUGAGUUCGAGCCCCGCGUCGGGCU
This 85-nucleotide transfer RNA is filed under the name Felis catus (domestic cat). It matches the Rfam family "tRNA". Rfam says of the family: Transfer RNA (tRNA) molecules are approximately 80 nucleotides in length. Lineage: Eukaryota; Metazoa; Chordata; Mammalia; Carnivora; Felidae. RNAcentral also lists the same sequence under 2 other names. The record is from Rfam by way of RNAcentral.